RNAcentral lists this unclassified non-coding RNA (738 nucleotides) under Hevea brasiliensis (rubber tree). Lineage: Eukaryota; Viridiplantae; Streptophyta; Magnoliopsida; Malpighiales; Euphorbiaceae. The record is from RNAcentral.
UUUUGGCUUUCAUGGUCUUAAUUCUUGUUUGGUUGUGUGAACUAUUCACACUGAUCAGUGUGCGCACGCCAAUAUCAAUGAAGUUCUUUCCGCGUUUCUUUUUGCUCUAUUUUCUGGUUUUUCACAUCUACUUCUUUUCCUAUGCAUAUGGUUUUUCAUAUUUGGCUCUCUCUACAACUGCAGCAUUUAUGCAGCACCUCAUUCUAUAUUUUUGGAACCGCUUUGAGGUACCAGCUUUGCAAAGGUUUAUGCAAAACAGGAGAUCACAGCUUCAGCAACACCCGGACAUCCAAAUCACAUCCUCUACCAUCCUUGCAUCAACUUUACACAUUACGAGAUUGAACACUAGGAACGAAGGUUCAGGUAUUACAGACUUGGCCUCUGUUCCUGGAUUUAGACCUGGAUCUGACCAAGCAAUACCAGCAAAUGGAGUAGAGAAUCCUGGGCCUCAACAACCCCUGGGAAAUGACAACCUGGACAGGGUUGGUAACACUAUGCAGAUUCCAGGUCAGACAGAUCUUCGACAACCAGAAACUGGUCCCAGCCCUGGUUCCGUGAACUCAUUUAGUUCACUACUGUUAUGGAUCUUGGGAGGGGCUUCUUCUGAAGGCCUUAACUCACUUUUUUCAAUGUUUAGAGACGUAAGAGACCAAGGACAAGUUUAUGCUGACUCCCCCAGACCUGAAAACGGCGCAAACCAGGAUGUGCGAUGAUCGUGAGCAUUGCAUUUGAGAGGGA